This 302-nucleotide unclassified non-coding RNA is filed under the name Hevea brasiliensis (rubber tree). Lineage: Eukaryota; Viridiplantae; Streptophyta; Magnoliopsida; Malpighiales; Euphorbiaceae. The record is from RNAcentral.
GAUUUUCAAGAAAAAGCUGUUUCGGGAGUCAGAUGAAGCUGUUACAGAGCCAAUGUUCGUGCAAUUAUCGUAUGUUCAAUUACAACAUGAUUACAUAAUGGGCAAUUAUCCUGUUGGCAAGGAAGAUGCUGCACAGAUGUCUGCUUUGCAGAUCCUGGUUGACAUUGGAUAUGUGGAUGGCCCUGAAUCUUGCACUGACUGGACAUCACUGCUGGAGCGAUUUUUACCCAGACAAAUUGCAAUGACACGGGCAAAGAGGGAAUGGGAAUUGGACAUCCUUUCUCGUUACAAAGUGAUGGAAA